UUUAAUGUGCCAUAUAUUGACUUUUACUUCGCAAGUGAGAUUAUCUACAUUUCCUUAGGGUGCGUUUGGUUCGAGUUAUCCUGGUAGGAUUACAGACAAUCCUGUCAGGAUAACUGUGUUUGGUUAAUCCGCUAUAUAAUCUAGUAGUUAAUAUAGCAUUACAAAUCGAGUAGGAUUACAUCGAAAAUAUUAACGGGAGGGGGGUCGUUUAUCUUGCAAUACUGAAACAUGUUAAUACUACAUAUUAUGUAAAAUGACAAUUUUACCCUCCAACAACCGCAAAUCUAAUUAACAGCAUUAUUUUUAUCUCUCUCUCACCUUCCCCCUCUCUCUCGCACGCCGCUUUCUCUCGCACGUCUCUCUCUCUCUCUAUCUCUAUCUCUAUCUUUUUCUCUCUCUCGCACAAAUACCUAUCUUCUAUUGCGUCGUCCUCCCAGGUCUUCUCUCCAUUCGUCAUUUCCGCAAACAAUAAUAUUCAAAUGACUACAACAAGGACAAUUUUGAAAAAAACUAUACUUUUAUGUCGGGAUUACUAAAUUUUAUAAACUGAACCAAACGUAUUAAUGCUAUAAACACUGUAAUCUAGUAUUAUAUUACUGCAUUAAACUAAACGCGCUAAUGCAGUAUCAGUAGUAAUCUCAUCCCAAAAUUUAAGACACCUAAAUAUGUUGAGAUAUUUUAUAAUAUUACAUAACUCGAACCAAACAGGCCGUUAAUAACAUGACGCCCUAACCUCAAUAGUUU
Molecule: long non-coding RNA, 744 nt
Filed under: Ananas comosus (pineapple)
Lineage: Eukaryota; Viridiplantae; Streptophyta; Magnoliopsida; Poales; Bromeliaceae
Description: long non-coding RNA (ACOM_LNC032053)
Source: RNAcentral